Molecule: long non-coding RNA, 1377 nt
Organism: Astatotilapia calliptera (eastern happy)
Lineage: Eukaryota; Metazoa; Chordata; Actinopteri; Cichliformes; Cichlidae
Source: Ensembl
GUGGUUUAAUGACGUAAAGACAAAGGUUUGCUGUUGGAGACAGGAUUGCCCACUUUCACUGCGAAUCAAGCCAAGCAGAUCCGAUUCUGACCACAAGAAGAUUUAAGGAUGCAUGUAUCAGACCCUACGGCGCCUUUAACUGCAACAGUAGUUUAAUGAUCCAGUCACGUAAGGCCACAAACACACAUAUAGUCUUAUAUCUGCUUUUGCUGAUAGACUUAAUGUAUAAUGAUGGGCAGACUUUCCAAAUAGUGAAAACAACAAGUCAUACACACAUUAGAAAUGUUUGGCAAGGUCUGGCUAGAUUGUGGAUUUUUGCUUUAAUAUUUAUAUCUCCAAGGUAUUCAGCUGAUUCUCUAAAAUGGCUUUGUAUUUAUUGGCCGUUUUUAAAACCCUGCAGAACACCGACUGGUCCAAAUGACUCCUACGAGAUGGCUGCUCAUACCAUGACAGAUCCACCUCCAUGUUUAACACCUGGCAAAAGACACUGUGGGUUGAGUUAUUAUUUUUUUAUUUUUUUUAUUUGGCUGUCUCCAAACAAAAACAGGCCCAGAUAGAAGACAAAGGCAAAUUGUCAAUUAAUGUUACUUUUGCAUUGUUCAGGGUUUUUUUUAUUUAUUUAUUUGUUUUACCAUUAAAUAUUGUAGAUCUAUUGAGCAGUACAUGGUUACAAUUGAACAAAUGCAAUGUUUUCAGGAAAAGUGUCUUGACCACUUUCAGGCUUUCAGAGUUGUCUUUCUUUUUUGUUUUGUUUUCUUAGACUUCCCCUAUUUCAAAUUAUGUAAUUUUGUAGUUUUGUGAUCAGAUCUACUAUCCAGGCUUGGCAUAUUUCAGAUGCCUUAUGUUGUUUGGAAAACUCAGCAAGUGACUGGCUCUGUUUCACACAGGAGAUGCCUUUAUUUUUAGCUUUCAAGAGCACGAAAUAAAUGUAUAAUUCGGUUGUUGUUUUACUAUAGUCCAUUCAUUUGCAUUCAUACCCCAGCUCACACAUAGCAGAGGAGAUAUUUUUGCCAUUCAAUAAUGAAAAUUUAAAUCAACUACAUUAAGAAAAGAAGAGACUGUGAGUUAUUUGAAAGCUUUAUAAACUGUGGCAAUUUGAAAAUAUAAAUAAAAUCCAAAACAGUGAGAAAAAAUAGAGAAAAUCGUGAACUGACACAGUCAAAAAAACUGGGGGGAUGAAUGUUGAAAAGUACUACUAGCAAUACUGUUUUUACAGUGUUUUUUUUAAAGGUCUGGUAUUUUGUUAUGAAGCACUUUGUGAUAUUUGUCUUUAAAAGUGCUACAGAAAUAAGAAAUAAAAUCGAAAUAAAAUUUUACUUAACUCAAACAUACUAAAGUAAUUUGAUGAUCGUCCUUGAUUCCUGAUUCGUUCCUGAU